UACAGAGGUCUCAAGCGUUGUUCGGAUUCAUUGGGCGUAAAGGGUGCGUAGGCGGCGCUGUAAGUCGGGUGUGAAAUCUUGGAGCUUAACUCCGAAACUGCAUUCGAUACUGCCGUGCUUGAGGACUGGAGAGGAGACUGGAAUUUACGGUGUAGCGGUGAAAUGCGUAGAUAUCGUAAGGAAGACCAGUGGCGAAGGCGGGUCUCUGGACAGUUCCUGACGCUGAGGCACGAAGGCCAGGGGAGCAAACGGG
Molecule: ribosomal RNA, 253 nt
Filed under: uncultured bacterium
Lineage: Bacteria
Description: partial 16S ribosomal RNA
Rfam family: Bacterial small subunit ribosomal RNA
Source: RNAcentral